Molecule: transfer RNA, 72 nt
Organism: Camelus ferus (Wild Bactrian camel)
Lineage: Eukaryota; Metazoa; Chordata; Mammalia; Artiodactyla; Camelidae
Rfam family: tRNA
About the family: Transfer RNA (tRNA) molecules are approximately 80 nucleotides in length.
Source: Rfam
GAGGGUACAGCUCAAUGGUAGAGCACAUGCUUUGCAUGCACUAGGUCAUGGGUUCAAUCCCCAGUACCUCUG